GGGAAAAUCCCUAAAAUUCCUCACUUGUUGACCAACCGACUCCUCCACUCCUUCCAUACUCUCCAUUAUUCAUUUUUUUUUUCAUUUUGACUAUUGAAUUUUUGCUAAUUAUCUCUAUUGCCGAUUAUUGUUCUCACUUCCCUCAAUUUGUCGUCCCUUCUCCUACUCUCCCCAAAUUUUUCUUUUCUUCCAUUUUUGCUACUGUAAGCUUUUGUCGCUCCUUUGAUUUCUUUUCUUUUCUUUUUCUUCUUUCCUUUUUUCUUUUAACCUUUUUUAUAUAUAAUCUCACAACCAAUCCUUGAUUUCUUCUUCUGUUACCUUUUUUUUUAUUCUCUUCUUGUACUGUUAUUUUCGUUUGGAUAGCAACCUUUUUUUUUAUCAUCACCAUCCCUAUGUCAAUUUUUCUUUGUGUUGAUCAGUGUCAUAACAUGAUUUUGAACAACUCUGACUGUGUGUGUGGUGAGAAGCGUGAAAUACGUAAUCCUCCGGUGAAUUAGGUGUUGAUUGUUCGCUGCUUUUCGGGGUUCCAAGUUCGUUGCAAUUGUGACAACGUGUUAGAAGCAUUCAAGUAUGUGUUCUAACCCCACAUGUUUGUGCGUGUUUUUUACUCGGAAAAAAAUCGAGAAAAGCGUGAAAAUCUUAAAAAUACAUGAAAAAUCGAAUCUGCUAAUCGAUAACACACGACCGAGGGGACACACCGUCGUAGGGGUUCAUUUUGAUCUAGUUGUAGGCCUUGCUUGGGCCGAGUGUUUGAUACUAAAAUAUGAAAUACAAAUAAUCUGUGAUCCUCAGACUUAGGAUUUGGCAGCGCUUAAGAGCUCAGUUCGGUUUAUUGUUUUUAAUUCUUUCAGAAACUUUUGUUUUGGAUUUUAUGGACUGGAUUGUCAGACUAUUUUAUUUUUUCGGACGUUAACUUUGGUUUGAAAUUGGUUUGAUGUUUGUAGUUAGUCGAUAAGUUUUUUUUAAUUGGAAUAAAUUCUGAUGAAACGAAUCAAAUAAGCAUUUUUCAAAGUUAAACAA
Gossypium raimondii (Peruvian cotton) is the source of this 1020-nucleotide long non-coding RNA. RefSeq lists it as uncharacterized. The transcript has 4 exons. The record is from RefSeq and is a predicted model, not a curated record. NCBI's taxonomy places the organism in Eukaryota, Viridiplantae, Streptophyta, Magnoliopsida, Malvales, Malvaceae.